GAUGAAGAACGCAGCGAAAUGCGAUAAGUAAUGUGAAUUGCAGAAUUCAGUGAAUCAUCGAAUCUUUGAACGCACAUUGCGCCCCUUGGUAUUCCGAGGGGCAUGCCUGUUCGAGCGUCAUUAUAACCCCUCAAGCUCAGCUUGGUGUUGGGGCCUGCUGCACUGGCAGCCCUUAAAAUCAGUGGCGGCGCCAUCUGGCUCUAAGCGUAGUAAUUCUUCUCGCUAUGGAGUCCUGGUGGAUGCUUGCCAUCAACCCCCAAUUUUUCUAUGGUUGACCUCGGAUCAGGUAGGGAUACCCGCUGAACUUAAGCAUAUCAAUAAGCGGAGGGA
Molecule: unclassified non-coding RNA, 330 nt
Filed under: soil metagenome
Description: partial contains 5.8S ribosomal RNA, internal transcribed spacer 2, and large subunit ribosomal RNA
Rfam family: 5.8S ribosomal RNA (bases 1-120)
Source: RNAcentral